This 254-nucleotide ribosomal RNA is filed under the name uncultured bacterium. Its description in RNAcentral is "partial 16S ribosomal RNA". It matches the Rfam family "Bacterial small subunit ribosomal RNA", at positions 524 to 776 of the family's 1533-position model. The record is from RNAcentral.
UACGUAGGGGGCAAGCGUUGUCCGGAUUUAUUGGGCGUAAAGAGCGUGUAGGCGGUUUGGUAGGUCCGCUGUGAAAACUCGAGGCUCAACCUCGAGACGCCGGUGGAAACCAUCAGACUAGAGUCCGGAAGAGGAGAGUGGAAUUCCUGGUGUAGCGGUGAUAUGCGUAGAUAUCGGGAGGAACACCAGUGGCGAAGGCGGCUCUCUGGGCCCUACCUGACGCUGAGACGCGAAAGCGGUGGGGAGCGAACCGG